CCUACGGGAGGCAGCAGCAAGGGAUAUUCCGCAAUGGGCGCAAGCCUGACGGAGCGACGCCGCGUGGGGGAGGAAGCCCUUCGGGGUGUAAACCCCUUUUCGGUGGGAUGAAGACAGUGACAGUACCACCGGAAGAAGGACCGGCUAACUACGUGCCAGCAGCCGCGGUAAGACGUAGGGUCCGAGCGUUGUCCGGAAUUACUGGGCGUAAAGGGCGCGUAGGCGGUGCUUCGCGUCGCACGUGAAAGCCCCCGGCUCAACCGGGGAGGGUCGUGCGAGACGGGAGCACUUGAGGCAGGGGAGGCUGGUGGAAUUCCCGGAGUAGUGGUGGAAUGCGUAGAGAUCGGGAGGAACACCGGUGGCGAAGGCGGCCAGCUGGGCCUGACCUGACGCUGAGGCGCGAAGGCGUGGGGAGCGAACGGGAUUAGAUACCCUGGUAGUCC
RNAcentral lists this ribosomal RNA (443 nucleotides) under uncultured bacterium. Its description in RNAcentral is "bacterial SSU rRNA". It matches the Rfam family "Bacterial small subunit ribosomal RNA", at positions 338 to 796 of the family's 1533-position model. The record is from RNAcentral.